UACAGAGGUCCCAAGCGUUGUUCGGAUUCACUGGGCGUAAAGGGUGCGUAGGCGGUCGGGUAAGUCUGACGUGAAAUCUUCAAGCUCAACUUGGAAACUGCGUCGGAUACUAUUCGGCUAGAGGAUUGGAGGGGGGACUGGAAUACUUGGUGUAGCAGUGAAAUGCGUAGAUAUCAAGUGGAACACCAGUGGCGAAGGCGAGUCCCUGGACAAUACCUGACACUGAGGCACGAAAGCUAGGGGAGCAAACAGG
This 253-nucleotide ribosomal RNA is filed under the name uncultured bacterium. RNAcentral's name for it is "partial 16S ribosomal RNA". It matches the Rfam family "Bacterial small subunit ribosomal RNA", at positions 524 to 776 of the family's 1533-position model. The record is from RNAcentral.